UACGUAGGCAGCAAGCGUUGUUCGGAAUUACUGGGCGUACAGAGUGUGUAGGCGGUGUUCUAAGUUUGUCGUGAAAUCUCCCGGCUUAACUGGGAGGGUGCGGCGAAAACUGGAAUGCUAGAGGAUGGGAGAGGUAAGCGGAAUUCCUGGUGUAGCGGUGAAAUGCGUAGAUAUCAGGAGGAACACCUGUGGUGUAGACAGCUUACUGGACCAUUUCUGACGCUGAGACACGAAAGCGUGGGUAGCAAACAGG
Molecule: ribosomal RNA, 253 nt
Filed under: uncultured bacterium
Lineage: Bacteria
Description: partial 16S ribosomal RNA
Rfam family: Bacterial small subunit ribosomal RNA
Source: RNAcentral